AUUUCUAAAUCGCCGAAACCUCUGUGUGCGGGGGAACCAUCUGGAUUCAAUGGAAUCCAAGGGGUGAAUCCUUUUUUAAAAAAGGUAGGGCUACUCAAUGGCCCGAAUCCGACAGCUAACCUCGUAAGCGUUAUGGAGAAGGAUG
Molecule: regulatory RNA element, 145 nt
Organism: Bacilli bacterium VT-13-104
Lineage: Bacteria; Bacillati; Bacillota; Bacilli
Rfam family: c-di-AMP riboswitch aptamer (ydaO/yuaA leader)
About the family: This family represents a conserved RNA structure found upstream of the ydaO and yuaA genes in Bacillus subtilis and related genes in other bacteria. The ydaO/yuaA element is thought to act as a genetic "off" switch for the ydaO and yuaA genes in its native state.
Source: Rfam